This 1639-nucleotide long non-coding RNA is filed under the name Heterocephalus glaber (naked mole-rat). RNAcentral describes it as "lncRNA (ENSHGLG00000044237.1)". The record is from RNAcentral. Lineage: Eukaryota; Metazoa; Chordata; Mammalia; Rodentia; Bathyergidae.
AGGAUGCUGCUGGACUCCGCCCGCGCAGGGGACAGGCACACAGCUCGGGAGCAGGUCACCACUGCACGGCGCACCCCAGUGGGGCCUCGAGGAAGCAGAGAACCGGUGUACGCCAGCAGGGAGGACGCCGGGAGCAGCUGGGCCCUCUGCAAGAGCCGGCCUGAGGCGGACCCAGGGUCACAGCUGCGCUCAAGCUGUGCAGAGCAGCGACAUGGAAAGGAUGUGCAGCUCUGGUGGUGCCGCCCGCCCGACAUGCGCUGCUGGGCCCUGCAGGGACGGAGGACGCCACCGUGCUCACCUGCACAGUGGCCACUUAGGACCCAGCACUCGCAGCCUGCGGGAACGGAAGACGAGCGACGGCCUGGCUUUCAGGCCACUGAGUGAAACACACAGGGCCUCGGCCUGGGCGCAGCAGUGUCCCCUGGGAAAGUCCUCCUCACACGGGUUGGCCCCCUUCAAUCACGUGCGACUCUUGAGCCACUGUGUGACAGCGACGCGCAGGCUCCACAGACUACCCCCGAGGAGCACGGGACCAGGCUGCCCCUCUGCCCGAGUCUGAACCGUGUUUCUCUGGGUUGGGGUCAGACCUGGUCAUGAACAAGACCUGAUGUGGGAGGAAGGAAAGGGGCAAAAUGUGUUAUGUGGAUCUGAAACUCACAGCAGGGGCAAACUCAGUUCUGAUUUGCUAUAAACACAUUAGAACCCUCAGAAAGGAGAGUGACACAGGAGCCCCUUUGCUGGCUGCAUGGUGUUAGUGGCAUCGACACCCUGGGCAUCCGUCUGCCAGGCCCCAUGGCAGCUCUCGGUCCCCACGGCAUGCACUCCCUGAGGGGCCAUGGAGAAUCGCUGGCUGCAGCCAACCACACAGAAAAGCCACCACAGCGCCUCCAUGUGGGACAGAGGAGCUGCGCCUCGGGCUCUCAUGGCCCAGCUUGUGUGCAGUGUCUGCGUGCGUUAGUGGCAGCCGUCCGGAAGUUGUCUCCCACCCUCCGAGCCACACGCCUCGCCUUCCGCCGCCUCGGGCCUCUGCAUUCUGGCCAGAGGACAUCCAGUGGGCCACGUCCUCUGCCAAUGGGGGACUCGCCUGGCACAUCCAGGACCGGGCCAGCCUUGCUCCCGCAGAGCAAGCGCCCAGUGGGCCCCAUGCUCACCAGCCCUCUGGCUGAGGGGCUCAGUUCCCAUCCCGCCGCGGGCCUGUGCCACGGGACAGGCACAGCAUCCAGGGCCCGAGUGACAGCAUGGGUUCCUCGGGAAGUGAGGACCAGCGAGACGUGACGGCCCACAGCGGUGUCCUGGGGACGCUGGCUGUGUGCUGCCCGCUCCCUAGCAGGUGGACACGCAAUUCCCCACAGCCGACCACGCGGCACAGACUGCAGCCUUGCAGGAGCAAUGAAAGGAGGGAGAUCGCACCUCGGGCUCCAGAAACCCGCCACAGCCCCAAGGCCUCCUCCAGCCCCAGGGCCAGCGCCGCACUGCUGAGGACACACGUGUGGCCCUGGGACACCCGGAAGCUGCUGCUGGGCGCAAAGGGCCUGCUUCUUAGGACCAGGUUCAUCCUUGUGCAGCCUCUACUACCUGCCUCUCCAGCACUGCUGACUCACCAGCAGCCACAAAAAUUGUGUGUAAAAUGUUAAGCCAC